UUUAUUUUGUAAAUUAUAGGUUUGAGUAGUAAUAGAGUUCUUGAAACUAAAAGAAUUUGGCGGUAUUUAAGUCUAUUUAGAGGAAUUUGUGUAUUAAUCGAUAAUCCUCGUUAUAUCUUACUUAAAUUAAGGUUUGUAUAUCGUUGUCAUCAGAAUAAUUUUUAGAAUAUUUUCAGGAUUAUUAUUAAAAUAGUAUGUCAUAUCAAGGUGCAGUGGAUAUUUAAGUUAACAUGAAUUACAAUAUCGGAGAGUAAUAACGGAUUAUGUCUUUUGAUAGGUAUAUGAAGGUGGAUUUAAUUGUAAUGGUUUAUUAGUAAGGUUUCAUGAAAUAGUACUAAAAUAUGC
This 345-nucleotide ribosomal RNA is filed under the name Paralamyctes sp. GG-2003. RNAcentral's name for it is "partial 12S ribosomal RNA". The record is from RNAcentral. Lineage: Eukaryota; Metazoa; Arthropoda; Chilopoda; Lithobiomorpha; Henicopidae.